This 1153-nucleotide long non-coding RNA is filed under the name Capsicum annuum. RNAcentral's name for it is "long non-coding RNA (CANN_LNC015751)". The record is from RNAcentral. Lineage: Eukaryota; Viridiplantae; Streptophyta; Magnoliopsida; Solanales; Solanaceae.
AAAGCCAAAGUCCAGAGCUAGUGGGUUUCCAAAUAUAUUGAUUAGUUGUGUGAUAGGAGAACCAAAAUACAAAUAUCUCACAGAUUUUUUUGUUUGACAACGAUUCAUAGUUUCACAUAUAAUUCUACCAACAUUGAUAAGAUAGCGUUUCAUGAUUGCAUACAACCAAUGAGCCCUUUUUGUAUGAAUUUCAUAGGUGUUUCUAUUUGGUUCUAACCUUGAACUCAAAAAUAGCAUCCAUACCUUAGUGACUAAACUGAGAUUUCUAGCCGAAAACCGAUCUCUCUGACCAUGUGUAUCAAUAUGCCAUCAAUUCCAAGAGGUCACAAAUCUGGAUCAAUCUCAUUCCAAGUUGGAUCGCGAAGUAAAACGUACAAGUGUGUGUCAUCCAAUUCAAGGGUCUCAUACAGCCUAUUGAUAACACUGGGAUCAAAGAAAAUUGUAUAACCCCUAAUAGUAAAAGUGUUAGUGGUGACAUCCAUGUUAGCGUAAAAUUCCCUAAUAAGUACUGACACUACAGGUUUGGGAUUUUAAGCAAACUUGAUCCAGCAGCGUGGUUCGAUUGAUGCAAGAACAGGCCAAAUUUGUUCGACAUCUGCUUCAGUAAGUGCACGUCCCCACUCUUUAAUAAGAUGACGUCCCAUUGCCUCUUUCUCCCAUUCAUUAGCAUUAUAGGAAAUAAACCUAGUUCGAUCAUACUUAUUUAUAAGCUUAGAGUAUUGUGGUGCCAUUUUUAGAAUAGAAGCAGGGAACUUUUUGUUUUUUUUUUCUUUUCUAGAUAUGAAUUCUUAAUGGGUAAUCUCUCUUAUAUAGAACCAAAUAGGGAAUCACGGUUCUUUGAAUUAUACAGAUGAUAAUCAACGUGUACACAGAUUGUAGAUACUAUCUUUUGUAGUGUACACGAAUACAAAAUUCAGUGUUCUAAAUCCUUUAAAAGACCCUUUUUUUCUUCACCAAAUAUAUCUUCAUGUGGAAGUAAUAUUUGUAUUCAGCUUAUUUUAUUCUUUAGGAUAGGUUUACUAAUUGAUAUUAUCUUCUUCUCUAUAAUUAUUAUAUGUAUAGUGAAUAUAUAGUAUUAGAAAGGCCAUAUUUUAUAUAUAUUUGUAUGCAUUUCACUGGAUGUGAACAAACAUCUUUUCUAUUCCUUGCUUCC